AGUGAACGCUGGCGGUAGGCCUAACACAUGCAAGUCGAACGGCAGCACAGUAAGAGCUUGCUCUUACGGGUGGCGAGUGGCGGACGGGUGAGGAAUACAUCGGAAUCUCCUUUUUCGUGGGGGAUAACGUAGGGGAACUUACGCUAAUACCGCAUACGACCUACGGGUGAAAGCAGGGGAUCAUCGGACCUUGCGCGAUUGAAUGAGCCGAUGUCGGAUUAGCUAGUUGGCGGGGUAAAGGCCCACCAAGGCGACGAUCCGUAGCUGGUCUGAGAGGAUGGUCAGCCACACUGGAACUGAGGCACGGUCCAGACUCCUACGGGAGGCAGCAGUGGGGAAUAUUGGACAAUGGGCGCAAGCCUGAUCCAGCCAUACCGCGUGGGUGAAGAAGGCCUUCGGGUUGUAGAGCCCUUUUGUUGGGAAAGAAAAGCAGCAGGUUAAUACCCCGCUGUUCUGACGGUACCCAAAGAAUAAGCACCGGCUAACUUCGUG
This 492-nucleotide ribosomal RNA is filed under the name uncultured bacterium. RNAcentral describes it as "partial 16S ribosomal RNA". It matches the Rfam family "Bacterial small subunit ribosomal RNA", at positions 29 to 507 of the family's 1533-position model. The record is from RNAcentral.